This 92-nucleotide transfer RNA is filed under the name Fusobacterium sp. RNAcentral's name for it is "tRNA-Sec". It matches the Rfam family "Selenocysteine transfer RNA". Lineage: Bacteria; Fusobacteriati; Fusobacteriota; Fusobacteriia; Fusobacteriales; Fusobacteriaceae. The record is from RNAcentral.
GGAAGCGGAUGGAAACUGGUGUUUUCAACAGUCUUCAAAACUGUCUGGCGGUGAAAAUCGUUGGUAGGUUCGAUUCCUACACGCUUCCGCCA